CACCUAAAUUUACAGAGAUAAUUUAAAACAUGUAAAUAAGAAAUUGAAAAGUAAUCUGCAAUUUGGUUUCUUCAGAAGCAAUGAGCAAAAGAAAACGGGAGAAUGAGACCAACACAGAAAAGAAAACAUCCUUUUUACCCCUAAGUUGUGCGCGAUGUCCUACUUCCUUCCCUUCUUCGUUUUGGCAGCCUUCCCCUUCAUUCCUUUCAUUCUUCGUAUUUUCUCCCCCCGCGCUGUCUCACUUUCAGAGUCUGUAAGACUCACUCACGACUCAGCAGCUGUUCAGCCUGACUCGUGCCUCAUCUCAGCCUCACUCAGUCCUUCCUCUACGUCGACCACUCGCCCACCUCGCACUCACCCUCGCGGCCCACAAGCUUCCUCUCGCCGUUUCGAGUCUCGACAGCCCACCUUGAUUCCUCGAUUCCAAAAGCCAAAACAAACCCGUGCUUCCUCCCUUUUCGUCUUCUCCUCUCACAAUUUGCGCCUUUAGUUCUCAACUGGAUUCACAGUAAACGCCUAUAAAUUUAGAGAAUCUGAUGGGUUUGCUUGGAUUCCAGAGUAAAAACCUUGAAACUUAAAGCAAUGCUAUUCUUGCUGAAGACCUGCCAUGUUGCGAGGUAGAAGGAGAGGAAGGUGAGGUAUACGGACGAGCUGGAGAGGAAGGUGCAGACACUUCAGACUGAGGCAACCACCCUAUCAGCACAGGUCACUCUAUAAUAGGGCUUUAUGAGUAUGAUCAUGAUGCGUCAAAAGCUAUGGAGCUGGAAGUGGCAAUUAGAAUUAAAGUGAUAAUACAUAUGAAAUUAUCUACAGAAACUCAAAGGUGGUUACAGUGGAGACCAAUAUUCAGAACACAGUGGACAAGUCUUUACAAGCUAAUCCUACCGGUUAUAGAAACGACAUCCUUUGUCUCUCUGCUUACUUGCUUUUUAACAUGGAGAAAAAUUAUUCUCUACUAACACCCGGUGGAAAGCCACUGUUCAUUAACAGUGUCCACCCGAUUUUGCCCCUCAUUCUCUUCAUGGUUUUUUAGUUUUAGUGGGGUUGUAUGGUGAAUUGGCCGUUUUGCCCCUCUCUCUUUUUCUUCCGUGCGUGCCCUCAGUUCCACACACUUCCAAAUCCCUAAGGGUGCGUUUGUUGCGCCGGACUGUCUCGGACUGGACUAGCUGCCGGGACUAAGCUGGACUGGUUUAGACUGGACUAAGCUGGACUAACUUAGUGAAGCGUUUGGUGCAGUCUCGGA
This is a non-coding RNA of Malus domestica (apple), 1243 nucleotides long. NCBI's taxonomy places the organism in Eukaryota, Viridiplantae, Streptophyta, Magnoliopsida, Rosales, Rosaceae. The record is from RefSeq and is a predicted model, not a curated record.